This 200-nucleotide ribosomal RNA is filed under the name uncultured bacterium. RNAcentral describes it as "partial 16S ribosomal RNA". It matches the Rfam family "Bacterial small subunit ribosomal RNA", at positions 524 to 723 of the family's 1533-position model. The record is from RNAcentral.
UACGAAGGGUGCAAGCGUUAAUCGGAAUUACUGGGCGUAAAGGGUGCGUAGGCGGUUUGUUAAGUCUGUUGUGAAAUCCCCGGGCUCAACCUGGGAAUGGCAAUGGAUACUGGCAAGCUAGAGUGUGUCAGAGGAUGGUGGAAUUUCCGGUGUAGCGGUGAAAUGCGUAGAGAUCGGAAGGAACAUCAGUGGCGAAGGCG